This 775-nucleotide ribosomal RNA is filed under the name uncultured Neocallimastigales. RNAcentral's name for it is "partial large subunit ribosomal RNA". It matches the Rfam family "Eukaryotic large subunit ribosomal RNA", at positions 23 to 640 of the family's 3401-position model. Lineage: Eukaryota; Fungi; Neocallimastigomycota; Neocallimastigomycetes; Neocallimastigales. The record is from RNAcentral.
GAGACUCUGUGCGCGUGCAUAUCAAUAAGCGGAGGAAAAGAAACUAACAAGGAUUCCCUUAGUAACGGCGAGUGAAGCGGGAAGAGCUCAAAUCUGAAAUCUUCAAGGUUCUACCUUGACGAAUUGUAGUUUAAAGAAGUGUUUUCUGUUAGUGGAGUGGCAAAAGUUCUCUGGAAUAGGACAUCAUAGAGGGUGAGAAUCCCGUAUUUGGUCAUUCCUUCUAUCUUUGUGAUACACUUUCAAAGAGUCGGAUUGUUUGGGAAUGCAGUCCAAAAUGGGUGGUAAAUUUCAUCUAAAGCUAAAUAUUGGCGAGAGACCGAUAGCGAACAAGUACCGUGAGGGAAAGAUGAAAAGAACUUUGAAAAGAGAGUUAAACAGUACGUGAAAUUGUCAAAAGGGAAGCGUUUGACACAAGUGUUGUUUUCUCGAAAAUCAAUUAAACGAUGUUUGAUUUUUGAGGAGUUAUGACUUCAUCGGCUUGCUCCUUUCUUUAUGAAACUUUCUUAAUGCACUUUUCGGUUAACAAGUCAACAUCAAUUUCUUUUGUUGUAAAAGGGUAUGAGGAAGGUGGCUUUCUUUUCGGAGAAAGUGUUUAUAGCCCUUGGCUUCUGCAAUCGGAGAGAUUGAGGUCUGCAGCGUAGAUCCUUCGGGGUUAGAUGCAUUUGUGCUAAGUUAUAGCCUUUCAUAGACAACUUGUUGACUAUGAUCAGUCAUGUAGCUUACUCGCUUAUGUCAUUUUACCUACGCUUAGGAUGUUGACAGCAGUAUAGACUGU